RNAcentral lists this ribosomal RNA (519 nucleotides) under uncultured bacterium. RNAcentral describes it as "bacterial SSU rRNA". It matches the Rfam family "Bacterial small subunit ribosomal RNA", at positions 26 to 518 of the family's 1533-position model. The record is from RNAcentral.
AGGACGAACGCUGGCGGCGUGCCUAAUACAUGCAAGUCGAACGGUCUUUCUAUGGAAGCUUGCUUCCACUGAGAAGAUAGUGGCGAACGGGUGAGUAACACGUGGGUAACCUGCCCAUAAGAGGGGGAUAACAUCCGGAAACGGGUGCUAAUACCGCAUAGUUUUCUUGAUCGCAUGAUUGGGAAAGGAAAGACGGCCUUUGUGCUGUCGCUUAUGGAUGGACCCGCGGCGUAUUAGUUAGUUGGUGAGGUAACGGCUCACCAAGACGAUGAUACGUAGCCGACCUGAGAGGGUGAUCGGCCACAUUGGGACUGAGACACGGCCCAAACUCCUACGGGAGGCAGCAGUAGGGAAUCUUCCGCAAUGGACGAAAGUCUGACGGAGCAACGCCGCGUGAGUGAAGAAAGGUUUUCGGAUCGUAAAACUCUGUUGUCAGAGAAGGACAAGUUGGAGAGUAACUGCUCCAGCCUUGACGGUAUCUGACCAGAAAGCCACGGCUAACUACGUGCCAGCCGCAGC